CCUCAUCUGAAUCUCAUCAUCCUAAAUCCUUUGGUCACUCCGACUUUUCUAAAACACCUUUCUCGAUUCCUUUCCAGUUUCCAGUAUGCAGAUCUUCGUGAAAACCCUCACCGGAAAGACCAUUACUCUCGAGGUCGAGAGCUCUGAUACCAUCGAUAACGUUAAGGCCAAGAUCCAAGACAAGGAAGGAAUACCACCCGAUCAGCAGAGGUUGAUCUUCGCCGGAAAACAGCUUGAAGACGGCCGUACACUAGCCGACUACAACAUCCAGAAGGAAUCGACUCUCCAUCUCGUCCUCCGUCUCCGUGGAGGCAUGCAGAUCUUUGUCAAAACCCUCACCGGAAAGACCAUUACACUCGAGGUCGAGAGCUCUGAUACCAUCGAUAACGUUAAGGCCAAGAUCCAAGACAAGGAAGGAAUACCACCCGAUCAGCAGAGGUUGAUCUUCGCCGGAAAGCAGCUUGAAGACGGCCGUACACUAGCCGACUACAACAUCCAGAAGGAGUCGACUCUCCAUCUCGUCCUCCGUCUCCGUGGAGGCAUGCAGAUCUUUGUCAAAACCCUCACCGGCAAGACUAUCACUCUUGAGGUGGAGAGUUCCGACACAAUUGAUAACGUCAAGGCCAAGAUCCAAGACAAGGAAGGCAUCCCACCUGAUCAGCAGAGGCUGAUCUUCGCCGGAAAACAGCUUGAAGAUGGCCGAACCCUUGCCGAUUAUAACAUCCAGAAGGAGUCGACACUCCACCUGGUUCUGAGGCUUCGUGGAGGAAUGCAGAUUUUUGUGAAGACAUUGACUGGGAAGACGAUCACUUUGGAGGUUGAGAGCUCUGAUACAAUUGAUAAUGUCAAGGCAAAAAUCCAGGACAAAGAGGGAAUUCCACCAGAUCAACAGAGGCUGAUCUUUGCAGGGAAGCAAUUGGAAGAUGGGCGUACGCUUGCUGAUUACAAUAUCCAGAAGGAGUCCACUCUUCACCUUGUGCUUCGUCUCCGUGGUGGUUUCUGAUUGAAAAUCAUUCAAGGAUUAGCUGGAAGGUUCCUGACCGUUGGCCCCCAAACGACGCAACGUUUUCUUCCAGCCAAACUUGACCACUACUUUCUUUCCUUGGAUAGGAAGGAUUCUGUUCCUUCCACACCCUCCCAUUCAGAGUCGGCUGUUCUCCUCUAUAUAAACUCGCUUCUUCGUGCUUCUUCUCAUCUUCAUCUAGUCAAUCAAAAUCCUUUCUUCUACAAAAUCUCCCGAGAAAACAAGCCUCUUCUUUUUCUCUUUUAGCUACCCAAUAUGCAGAUUUUCGUUAAAACCCUCACCGGCAAGACCAUUACUCUCGAGGUCGAGAGCUCCGAUACCAUCGACAACGUCAAAGCUAAGAUCCAAGACAAGGAAGGGAUUCCACCGGAUCAGCAAAGAUUGAUCUUUGCCGGUAAACAGCUUGAAGAUGGCCGCACUUUGGCCGAUUAUAACAUCCAGAAGGAGUCUACUCUCCAUCUUGUCCUCCGUCUCCGUGGCGGCAUGCAGAUCUUUGUUAAAACCCUCACCGGAAAGACUAUUACUCUUGAGGUUGAGAGCUCUGACACUAUUGAUAAUGUCAAGGCCAAGAUCCAAGAUAAAGAAGGGAUCCCUCCUGACCAGCAGAGGCUGAUCUUCGCCGGAAAGCAACUUGAGGAUGGUCGGACCCUUGCUGACUAUAAUAUUCAGAAGGAGUCGACACUGCAUCUUGUUCUCCGGUUGAGGGGAGGUAUGCAGAUCUUCGUCAAGACUCUUACCGGCAAGACGAUAACCUUGGAGGUGGAAAGUUCCGACACCAUCGAUAAUGUUAAAGCCAAGAUCCAGGACAAGGAAGGCAUUCCUCCUGACCAGCAGAGGCUGAUCUUCGCCGGAAAGCAACUUGAGGAUGGCCGAACCCUUGCCGACUAUAAUAUACAGAAGGAAUCCACUCUGCAUCUUGUUCUGCGUUUGAGGGGAGGUAUGCAGAUCUUCGUCAAAACCCUGACCGGCAAGACCAUAACCCUAGAGGUUGAAAGCUCCGACACAAUCGACAAUGUUAAAGCCAAGAUCCAGGACAAGGAAGGCAUUCCUCCUGACCAGCAGCGUCUGAUCUUUGCCGGAAAGCAGCUGGAGGAUGGGAGGACCCUCGCUGAUUACAACAUACAGAAGGAAUCCACCUUGCAUCUCGUUCUCCGAUUGAGGGGCGGAAUGCAGAUCUUUGUCAAAACUCUCACCGGCAAGACCAUAACACUAGAGGUUGAAAGCUCCGACACAAUUGAUAACGUGAAGGCCAAGAUCCAAGAUAAGGAAGGAAUCCCACCUGACCAGCAGCGACUGAUCUUCGCCGGGAAGCAGCUAGAGGACGGAAGGACCCUUGCCGAUUAUAACAUCCAGAAGGAGUCCACACUCCACCUGGUUCUUAGGCUUCGUGGGGGUAUGCAGAUUUUUGUGAAGACCUUGACCGGGAAGACAAUCACUCUAGAAGUCGAGAGCUCGGAUACUAUUGAUAAUGUCAAAGCAAAAAUCCAGGACAAGGAAGGGAUACCGCCUGAUCAGCAGAGGCUGAUUUUUGCUGGGAAGCAAUUAGAGGAUGGGCGUACACUUGCUGAUUAUAAUAUCCAGAAGGAGUCCACCCUCCACCUUGUGCUCCGUCUUCGCGGUGGUGAUUGCUGAAUCAAAGUCUGUUUCUUUUCAAAGUUGUGUGUCUAGUAUUUGGUUUCUUGCAUUUCAUAUUAAACAUCAGAUGUUCUUUGCCAAGGAUAUCUAAUAGUAUUGUGUCAUGUUUUAAGUCUGAUUGAUAAAUAAAGUUACUUGAUUUCCU
Molecule: RNA transcript, 2804 nt
Organism: Manihot esculenta (cassava)
Lineage: Eukaryota; Viridiplantae; Streptophyta; Magnoliopsida; Malpighiales; Euphorbiaceae
Gene name: polyubiquitin-like
Exons: 2
Source: RefSeq, a predicted model, not a curated record